RNAcentral lists this ribosomal RNA (402 nucleotides) under uncultured prokaryote. Its description in RNAcentral is "bacterial SSU rRNA". It matches the Rfam family "Archaeal small subunit ribosomal RNA", at positions 322 to 725 of the family's 1478-position model. The record is from RNAcentral.
CCUACGGGGUGCAGCAGGCGCGAAAACUUUACAAUGCUGGCAACAGCGAUAAGGGAACCUCGAGUGCCAGGUUACAAAUCUGGCUGUGAGAUGCCUAAAAAGCAUUUCAUAGCAAGGGCCGGGCAAGACCGGUGCCAGCCGCCGCGGUAACACCGGCGGCUCGCGUGGUAACCGUUAUUAUUGGGUCUAAAGGGUCUGUAGCCGGCCGGAUAAGUCUCUUGAGAAAUCUGGCAGCUUAACUGUCAGGCUUUCAGGAGAGACUGUCUGGCUCGAGGCCGGGAGAGGUGAGAGGUACUUCAGGGGUAGGGGUGAAAUCGUGUAAUCCUUGAAGGACCACCAGUGGCGAAGGCGUCUCACCAGAACGGACCUGACGGCAAGGGACGAAAGCUAGGGGCACGAACC